CGGGUAGCCGGCCUGAGAGGGCGACCGGCCACACUGGGACUGAGACACGGCCCAGACUCCUACGGGAGGCAGCAGUGGGGAAUAUUGCACAAUGGGCGAAAGCCUGAUGCAGCGACGCCGCGUGAGGGAUGACGGCCUUCGGGUUGUAAACCUCUUUCAGUAGGGAAGAAGCGCAAGUGACGGUACCUACAGAAGAAGCACCGGCUAACUACGUGCCAGCAGCCGCGGUAAUACGUAGGGUGCGAGCGUUGUCCGGAAUUAUUGGGCGUAAAGAGCUCGUAGGCGGCUUGUCACGUCGGAUGUGAAAGCCCGGGGCUUAACCCCGGGUCUGCAUUCGAUACGGGCAGGCUAGAGUUCGGUAGGGGAGAUCGGAAUUCCUGGUGUAGCGGUGAAAUGCGCAGAUAUCAGGAGGAACACCGGUGGCGAAGGCGGAUCUCUGGGCCGAUACUGACGCUGAGGAGCGAAAGCGUGGGGAGCGAACAGGAUUAGAUACCCUGGUAGUCCACGCCGUAAACGUUGGGAACUAGGUGUGGGCGACAUUCCACGUUGUCCGUGCCGCAGCUAACGCAUUAAGUUCCCCGCCUGGGGGAGUACGGA
RNAcentral lists this ribosomal RNA (597 nucleotides) under Streptomyces alkaliterrae. RNAcentral's name for it is "bacterial SSU rRNA". It matches the Rfam family "Bacterial small subunit ribosomal RNA", at positions 280 to 886 of the family's 1533-position model. Lineage: Bacteria; Bacillati; Actinomycetota; Actinomycetes; Kitasatosporales; Streptomycetaceae. The record is from RNAcentral.